This 497-nucleotide ribosomal RNA is filed under the name uncultured bacterium. RNAcentral describes it as "partial 16S ribosomal RNA". It matches the Rfam family "Bacterial small subunit ribosomal RNA", at positions 28 to 507 of the family's 1533-position model. The record is from RNAcentral.
GAUGAACGCUGGCGGCGUGCCUAAUACAUGCAAGUCGAGCGAACGGACGAGAAGCUUGCUUCUCUGAUGUUAGCGGCGGACGGGUGAGUAACACGUGGAUAACCUACCUAUAAGACUGGGAUAACUUCGGGAAACCGGAGCUAAUCCCGGAUAAUAUUUUGAACCGCAUGGUUCAAAAGUGAAAGACGGUCUUGCUGUCACUUAUAGAUGGAUCCGCGCUGCAUUAGCUAGUUGGUAAGGUAACGGCUUACCAAGGCAACGAUGCAUAGCCGACCUGAGAGGGUGAUCGGCCACACGGGAGCGGAGACACGGUCCAGACUCCUACGGGAGGCAGCAGUAGGGAAUCUGCCGCAAUGGGGGAAAACCUUACGGAGCAACGCCGCGUGAGUGAUGAAGGUCUUCGGAGCGUAAAACUCUGUUAUUAGGGAAGAACAGAUGUGUAAGUAACUGUGCACAUCUUGACGGUACCUAAUCAGAAAGCCACGGCUAACUACGUG